AUGCAUCAUAUUUCAUAUAUGCAAGUGGAAAACAGUGGAAAACACCCACGUACAUCUUCAACAAAAAGAUGUUGCCUAGAUAGAAUGUUUUGCAUGGCAAAUCCAAUACGUAAACUGCAAGCAAACAAUGAAAUGAGUUUGGUGAUAAUAUCAAAGCUCUAUCCAGUCACCAAAAUGCACAAAGAAAAUCAAACGCUUCUGGCCAACUGUCAUCGUUCAACUGAGUCUCGUACUGCGUGGGCGCUCGCCUGGGAAAGAAGAUUAGCAGCGAGAAAGGACCGAAGGUGCAGAUAUGUCACUGUGAGAGAAAAAAAAUAG
This 318-nucleotide ribosomal RNA is filed under the name Triticum aestivum (bread wheat). RNAcentral describes it as "partial small subunit ribosomal RNA". Lineage: Eukaryota; Viridiplantae; Streptophyta; Magnoliopsida; Poales; Poaceae. The record is from RNAcentral.